CCUAUGGGAGGCAGCAGUGAGGGAUAUUGGUCAAUGGGGGAAACCCUGAACCAGCAACGCCGCGUGAGGGAAGACGGUUUUCGGAUUGUAAACCUCUGUCCUCUGUGAAGAUAAUGACGGUAGCAGAGGAGGAAGCUCCGGCUAACUACGUGCCAGCAGCCGCGGUAAUACGUAGGGAGCAAGCGUUGUCCGGAUUUACUGGGUGUAAAGGGUGCGUAGGCGGCGAUGCAAGCCAGGAGUGAAAGCCCGGGGCCCAACCCCGGGACUGCUCUUGGAACUGCGUGGCUGGAGUGCAGGAGGGGCAGGCGGAAUUCCUGGUGUAGCGGUGAAAUGCGUAGAUAUCAGGAGGAACACCGGUGGCGAAGGCGGCCUGCUGGACUGCAACUGACGUUGAGGCCCGAAAGCGUGGGGAGCAAACAGGAUUAGAUACCCCUGUAGUC
This 440-nucleotide ribosomal RNA is filed under the name uncultured bacterium. RNAcentral's name for it is "partial 16S ribosomal RNA". It matches the Rfam family "Bacterial small subunit ribosomal RNA", at positions 338 to 795 of the family's 1533-position model. The record is from RNAcentral.